This 253-nucleotide ribosomal RNA is filed under the name uncultured bacterium. RNAcentral's name for it is "partial 16S ribosomal RNA". It matches the Rfam family "Bacterial small subunit ribosomal RNA", at positions 524 to 776 of the family's 1533-position model. The record is from RNAcentral.
UACGGGGGGAGCAAACGUUGUUCGGAAUCACUGGGCUUACAGGGUGCGUAGGCGGCUUGUUAAGUAGGGUGUGAAAUCCCCCGGCUCAACCGGGGAAUGGCGCCCUAAACUGGCGAGCUGGAGUGAGAUAGGGGUGUGUGGAACUUCCGGUGGAGCGGUGAAAUGUGUUGAUAUCGGAAGGAACGCCGGUGGCGAAAGCGACACACUGGAUCUUGUCUGACGCUGAGGCACGAAAGCCAGGGGAGCGAACGGG